GAUGAACGCUGGCGGCGUGCCUAAUACAUGCAAGUCGAACGGAAAGGCCCUGCUCUUGCGGGGUGCUCGAGAGGCGCACGGGUGAGUAACACACGAGUAAAACGCCCCUGUCUUUGUGAUAACACCACGAGACAGCGGCUAAUAUCGGAUAGGAGCUCCUGCACCACGGGGGGGGAUGGAAAGAUUCGGCGGUGGUGGCUGGAUUGGCGGCUUAUCAGCCUGUUGGGGGGGUAGUGGAUGACCACGGCGUUGACGGGUAGCCCGCCUUAGAGGUUGGCCAGCCACCUGGGGCCUGAGGGACGGCGCAGACUCCUACGGGCGGCAACAGUGGGGAAUAUUGCACAAUGGGCGGACGCCUGUUGCGGCAACGCCGCGUGCGGGAUGACGGCCUUCGGGUUGUAAACCGCUUUCGCCGGUGACGAAGCGUGAGUGACGGUAAUGGGUAAAGAAGCACCGGCUAACUACGUG
RNAcentral lists this ribosomal RNA (468 nucleotides) under uncultured bacterium. RNAcentral's name for it is "partial 16S ribosomal RNA". It matches the Rfam family "Bacterial small subunit ribosomal RNA", at positions 28 to 507 of the family's 1533-position model. The record is from RNAcentral.